AAGUCGAACGGUGUCUUCGGACACAGUGGCGGACGGGUGAGUAACGCGUGAGAAUCUGCCUCUAGGUUGGGGACAACAGUUGGAAACGACUGCUAAUACCCGAUGUGCCGCAAGGUAAAAGAUUUAUUGCCUGGAGAGGAGCUCGCGUCUGAUUAGCUAGUUGGUGGGGUAAAAGCCCACCAAGGCAGCGAUCAGUAGCUGGUCUGAGAGGAUGAGCAGCCACACUGGGACUGAGACACGGCCCAGACUCCUACGGGAGGCAGCAGUGGGGAAUUUUCCGCAAUGGGCGAAAGCCUGACGGAGCAAUACCGCGUGAGGGAGGAAGGCCUUUGGGUUGUAAACCUCUUUUCUCAGGGAAGAAGAUCUGACGGUACCUGAGGAAUAAGCAUCGGCUAACUCCGUGCCAGCAGCCGCGGUAAUACGGAGGAUGCAAGCGUUAUCCGGAAUCAUUGGGCGUAAAGCGUCCGCAGGUGGUUUUUCAAGUCUGCUGUUAAAGACUGGAGCUCAACUCCGGAAAGGCAGUGGAAACUGGAAGACUAGAGUUCGGUAGGGGUAGCGGGAAUUCCCAGUGUAGCGGUGAAAUGCGUAGAUAUUGGGAAGAACAUCGGUGGCGAAGGCGCGCUACUGGACCGAAACUGACACUCAGGGACGAAAGCUAGGGGAGCGAAAGGGAUUAGAUACCCCUGUAGUCCUAGCUGUAAACGAUGGAAACUAGGUGUGGCUUGUAUCGACCCGAGCCGUGCCGUAGCUAACGCGUUAAGUUUCCCGCCUGGGGAGUACGCACGCAAGUGUGAAACU
This 798-nucleotide ribosomal RNA is filed under the name uncultured Chroococcales cyanobacterium. RNAcentral describes it as "bacterial SSU rRNA". It matches the Rfam family "Bacterial small subunit ribosomal RNA", at positions 59 to 901 of the family's 1533-position model. The record is from RNAcentral. Lineage: Bacteria; Bacillati; Cyanobacteriota; Cyanophyceae; Chroococcales.